CAGCACUGGCAAGUGACCCACUGGGCUCCUCCUUGACCAACUUGACCUCCUUUGGCACUGCAUCGAGCAGUGCCAAAGCAAAUCCCUCCACAAAGCUGGGAGAGUCAUGCUGUGGGCUACUCCUGCAUGCAGGUGGGUACAUAU
RNAcentral lists this small nucleolar RNA (144 nucleotides) under Tursiops truncatus (common bottlenose dolphin). Lineage: Eukaryota; Metazoa; Chordata; Mammalia; Artiodactyla; Delphinidae. The record is from RNAcentral.